This 445-nucleotide ribosomal RNA is filed under the name uncultured bacterium. RNAcentral's name for it is "partial 16S ribosomal RNA". It matches the Rfam family "Bacterial small subunit ribosomal RNA", at positions 354 to 796 of the family's 1533-position model. The record is from RNAcentral.
GUGAGGAAUAUUGGUCAAUGGGCGAGAGCCUGAACCAGCCAAGUCGCGUGAAGGAAGAAGGAUCUAUGGUUCGUAAACUUCUUUUGCAGGGGAAUUAAGUGCAGGACGUGUCCUGUUUUGUAUGUACCCUGAGAAUAAGGAUCGGCUAACUCCGUGCCAGCAGCCGCGGUAAUACGGAGGAUCCGAGCGUUAUCCGGAUUUAUUGGGUUUAAAGGGUGCGUAGGUGGUUUGAUAAGUCAGCGGUGAAAGUUUGCAGCUUAACUGUAAAAAUGCCGUUGAAACUGUCGGACUUGAGUGUAAAUGAGGUAGGCGGAAUGCGUGGUGUAGCGGUGAAAUGCAUAGAUAUCACGCAGAACUCCGAUUGCGAAGGCAGCUUACUAAGCUACAACUGACACUGAAGCACGAAAGCGUGGGGAUCAAACAGGAUUAGAAACCCCGGUAGUCC